UACGGAGGGAGCUAGCGUUGUUCGGAAUUACUGGGCGUAAAGCGCACGUAGGCGGCUUUGUAAGUUAGAGGUGAUAGCCUGGAGCUCAACUCCAGAAUUGCCUUUAAGACUGCAUCGCUUGAAUCCAGGAGAGGUGAGUGGAAUUCCGAGUGUAGAGGUGAAAUUCGUAGAUAUUCGGAAGAACACCAGUGGCGAAGGCGUCUCACUGGACUGGUAUUGACGCUGAGGUGCGAAGGCGUGGGGAGCAAUCAGGAUUAGAUACCCUG
This 266-nucleotide ribosomal RNA is filed under the name uncultured Sphingomonadales bacterium. RNAcentral describes it as "partial 16S ribosomal RNA". It matches the Rfam family "Bacterial small subunit ribosomal RNA", at positions 524 to 789 of the family's 1533-position model. The record is from RNAcentral. Lineage: Bacteria; Pseudomonadati; Pseudomonadota; Alphaproteobacteria; Sphingomonadales.